UGUGUCUACGGGACGCAGCAGUGGGGGAUAUUGCACAAUGGGGGAAACCCUGAUGCAGCGACGCCGCGUGGGUGAAGAAGCGCCUCGGCGCGUAAAGCCCUGUCAGCAGGGAAGAAAAUGACGGUACCUGAAGAAGAAGCCCCGGCUAACUACGUGCCAGCAGCCGCGGUAAUACGUAGGGGGCAAGCGUUAUCCGGAUUUACUGGGUGUAAAGGGGGCGCAGACGGCGAUGCAAGCCAGGAGUGAAAGCCCGGGGCCCAACCCCGGGACUGCUCUUGGAACUGCGUGGCCAGAGUGCAGGAGGG
This 305-nucleotide ribosomal RNA is filed under the name uncultured bacterium. RNAcentral describes it as "bacterial SSU rRNA". It matches the Rfam family "Bacterial small subunit ribosomal RNA", at positions 333 to 656 of the family's 1533-position model. The record is from RNAcentral.